CUGGCCAGGGCAGAGACCAGCACCUGCCAGGCUGAUGGCACCUGGUCCUCACCCACCCCGGAGUGCCAGCCAGUUCCCUGAAGCAAGGGGUUCGGAUGCUGGAGCUACCGCUUGCCAGGGGCAUCCUUAACCGUGCAGGGCUGGCGACCUUGCAGUGGCUUUUGAGGACUGAGGGAGCGACAGGAGCAUAAGAGUGGCUCUGUGCAGGCCAGCGGUGAAUGUUACCAGGGUGAGUUCCCUCCAGACGGCUCCCGGGAUGCUCAGGGAGGACAUGUUCCCCUGUCCUGGCCUCUUGGCUUUUGACCAGGUGGGUACUAUGUGGGCACCUUGGUGGGUGUGAAGGCCUGAGGUCAGACCGCCCAGGCCUCUAGCCAGGGCUGGGAGAGGCGUGAAGGCCCAGGGCUUCCCCUCAGUCUCCCCACAGGAAUGGGGAGGAGGUGAGGGCAGCCCGCAGCCUCGCGUGGCUGGACUACUCACCCUUCAGGUCCAUCCAACUCUGCUCAGCGAAGCUCAGCACCUCCUGGUUCAGCAGCACCUCCAGACCUCUGGUCCCAUUGGCCAGCCUGACCUCCACCACGUCUGAGUUGCCCUCCUGGACGGCCACUGCAGUCAGCCCCGUGCCACGGGUCUGUGUGCCUGUGGUGGUGGGAGCGGAAUGGGUGCCACUUGGCUCCAGCCUCUCACCUUGGAUGUACCCCAUGCCACUCAGAGCAGCCCCUAGCCCUGGCCUCACCGUUGGACAUCCUCCCAGGCUGGGCCCGCGCCUGCACCCUCAGGCCUGGCACUGAGUGUGUGCCCAGGCCACAGGGUCCUCUCGGAAGUCAUCGCUCAGGUGCCAGGCCAGCGUGUGGUCAUUGGUCCAGAGCGCCUGCACGUCCCUGUGGAGACAAUGAUGCUGGAGCUGGGGCCAGGCCACACCACCCCAUGGUCGCCCACUCUCCGCACCCCCGGCCCGGGCUGCCCAGGGGUCAGCAGCACCCGGCGAACAGCAGCAGGAGGAGCUGCGAGAACAGUUGCUCCUGGGCAGAGCUGCACUUGGGCAUCUCCUGCCACCACCCCCUCCCCAGGGGAGCCCAAGGUAGGGGAGGCUCAGCGUGGAAUGAAACAGGGGAGUGAGGGACACAAAGAGAUGGGAAGUGGGAGGGCUCUAGCCCCACCAAGUAUGCAGAGACCCCCUCAUUGUCCUGGACACCACAGGGGCACCUGCAGGUCCUCUGUGCAUGGGCCUGGGAGGCAGACCUGCCCUAAGGGUGAUGUGGAGGCUACAGGUGCCACAUGCACCAGCACCCACUCUAGCCAUCAGCCUCCAGGUUGACUAAGGGUCAGGCCAGGUUUGAACCCAUGCUUGACUGGGCCAGGACCCGUGGCUAGAGCACCUGGGAGCUCCUUCAGUCCUGUUCUGCAGGAAGGAGGACAGCAGACU
This is a non-coding RNA of Chlorocebus sabaeus (green monkey), 1423 nucleotides long. The record is from RefSeq and is a predicted model, not a curated record. Lineage: Eukaryota; Metazoa; Chordata; Mammalia; Primates; Cercopithecidae.